CGCUGAAUGCAUCUAAGUGGGAAACCCUCCCCAAGAUGAACACUCCCGAGCCGUAAGGCUCCUCAAGGGCCCUGGGAGACUACCAGGUUGAUAGGCGGCAGGUGUAAGGCGCGCGAGCGCUUCAGCCGAGCCGUACUAAUUGCCCGUGAGGCUUGAUCUC
Molecule: ribosomal RNA, 160 nt
Filed under: Gemmatimonadota bacterium
Lineage: Bacteria; Pseudomonadati; Gemmatimonadota
Description: Gemmatimonadetes bacterium partial 23S ribosomal RNA
Rfam family: Bacterial large subunit ribosomal RNA
Source: RNAcentral